This 613-nucleotide ribosomal RNA is filed under the name Vreelandella halophila. RNAcentral describes it as "bacterial SSU rRNA". It matches the Rfam family "Bacterial small subunit ribosomal RNA", at positions 58 to 668 of the family's 1533-position model. Lineage: Bacteria; Pseudomonadati; Pseudomonadota; Gammaproteobacteria; Oceanospirillales; Halomonadaceae. The record is from RNAcentral.
CAAGUCGAGCGGUAACAGGUCUAGCUUGCUAGACGCUGACGAGCGGCGGACGGGUGAGUAAUGCAUAGGAAUCUGCCCGAUAGUGGGGGAUAACCUGGGGAAACCCAGGCUAAUACCGCAUACGUCCUACGGGAGAAAGGGGGCUUCGGCUCCCGCUAUUGGAUGAGCCUAUGUCGGAUUAGCUAGUUGGUGAGGUAAUGGCUCACCAAGGCAGCGAUCCGUAGCUGGUCUGAGAGGAUGAUCAGCCACAUCGGGACUGAGACACGGCCCGAACUCCUACGGGAGGCAGCAGUGGGGAAUAUUGGACAAUGGGGGCAACCCUGAUCCAGCCAUGCCGCGUGUGUGAAGAAGGCCCUCGGGUUGUAAAGCACUUUCAGCGAGGAAGAACGCCUGUCGGUUAAUACCCGGCAGGAAAGACAUCACUCGCAGAAGAAGCACCGGCUAACUCCGUGCCAGCAGCCGCGGUAAUACGGAGGGUGCAAGCGUUAAUCGGAAUUACUGGGCGUAAAGCGCGCGUAGGUGGCUUGAUAAGCCGGUUGUGAAAGCCCCGGGCUCAACCUGGGAACGGCAUCCGGAACUGUCAGGCUAGAGUGCAGGAGAGGAAGGUAGAAUU